RNAcentral lists this ribosomal RNA (497 nucleotides) under uncultured bacterium. Its description in RNAcentral is "partial 16S ribosomal RNA". It matches the Rfam family "Bacterial small subunit ribosomal RNA", at positions 28 to 507 of the family's 1533-position model. The record is from RNAcentral.
GAUGAACGCUGGCGGCGUGCCUAAUACAUGCAAGUCGAGCGAACAGACGAGGAGCUUGCUCCUCUGACGUUAGCGGCGGACGGGUGAGUAACACGUGGAUAACCUACCUAUAAGACUGGGAUAACUUCGGGAAACCGGAGCUAAUACCGGAUAAUAUAUUGAACCGCAUGGUUCAAUAGUGAAAGACGGUUUUGCUGUCACUUAUAGAUGGAUCCGCGCCGCAUUAGCUAGUUGGUAAGGUAACAGCUUACCAAGGCAACGAUGCGUAGCCGACCUGAGAGGGUGAUCGGCCACACUGGAACUGAGACACGGUCCAGACUCCUACGGGAGGCAGCAGUAGGGAAUCUUCCGCAAUGGGCGAAAGCCUGACGGAGCAACGCCGCGUGAGUGAUGAAGGUCUUCGGAUCGUAAAACUCUGUUACUAGGGAAGAACAAAUGUGUUAGUAACUAUGCACGUCUUGACGGUACCUAAUCAGAAAGCCACGGCUAACUACGUG